UCGGAUAUGGUGUAUCGGCAACAUGGCUGUCUUUCACACAGCAGCGCCGGGUUCGACUCCCGGUAUCCGAA
Molecule: transfer RNA, 71 nt
Filed under: Hydnomerulius pinastri MD-312
Lineage: Eukaryota; Fungi; Basidiomycota; Agaricomycetes; Boletales
Description: tRNA-Glu (TTC) (tRNA-Glu-TTC-2-1)
Rfam family: tRNA
About the family: Transfer RNA (tRNA) molecules are approximately 80 nucleotides in length. Their secondary structure includes four short double-helical elements and three loops (D, anti-codon, and T loops). Further hydrogen bonds mediate the characteristic L-shaped molecular structure. tRNAs have two regions of fundamental functional importance: the anti-codon, which is responsible for specific mRNA codon recognition, and the 3' end, to which the tRNAs corresponding amino acid is attached (by aminoacyl-tRNA synthetases). tRNAs cope with the degeneracy of the genetic code in two manners: having more than one tRNA (with a specific anti-codon) for a particular amino acid; and 'wobble' base-pairing, i.e. permitting non-standard base-pairing at the 3rd anti-codon position.
Source: RNAcentral